CCAAUUGGAGAUGAUGAGCUGGUGGCAUUCAUUCUCAAUGGUUUGGAUGCUGAUUUUAAUCCAAUUGUUUCUGCAAUUAUAACUAGAGUUGAGCCUAUUUCUGUUGGAGAACUCUAUUCACAGCCAUUGAGCUUCGAGA
This is a small nucleolar RNA of Setaria italica (foxtail millet), 139 nucleotides long. It matches the Rfam family "Small nucleolar RNA Z247". Rfam says of the family: Z247 is a member of the C/D class of snoRNA which contain the C (UGAUGA) and D (CUGA) box motifs. The record is from Rfam. Lineage: Eukaryota; Viridiplantae; Streptophyta; Magnoliopsida; Poales; Poaceae.